Molecule: long non-coding RNA, 419 nt
Organism: Homo sapiens (human)
Lineage: Eukaryota; Metazoa; Chordata; Mammalia; Primates; Hominidae
Source: Ensembl
UUUCUUUUUUUUGAGAUGGAGUCUUGCUUUGUCGCCCAGGCUGGAGUGCAAUGGCGAAAUCUCGGCUCACUGCAACCUCGGCCUCCCAGGUUCAAGCGAUUCUCCUGCCUCAGCCUCCUGAGUAGCUGGGACUACAGGCAUCCACCAACACGCCUGGCUAAUUUUUGUUAUUUUUAGUAGAGAUGGGGUUUCACCAUGUUGGCCAGGCUGGUCUCAAACUCCUGACUUCAAGUGAUCCGCCCAACUUGGCCUCCCAAAGUGCUGGGAUUACAGGCAUGCACCACCGCGCCAGGCCUCAACCCCUAAUUUUUCCAUUAUGGAGUCAAAAAGUUCCCUUGUCUGCUUGAAUCAUGGUGUGGUGGGCUUCUGUUUGGGGCCACCAGCCGUGUCCUCCAUGGUGCCAAUGGGGAUCACUGAUG